CCCCCAGUGUUCCUCGCGCCCGCCUGCGCCUUGUUCUGAAGCUAAGCUAGCUAGAAUCACCUCGAGACGGACAGUGCAUUUUUGUGGAGUAGUGACAAGAAAAUGGCGGAGUGAGUGGGUUGCGCUUUGAAGGAAAGCAGCGACCCUAGGUUUCCGUAAAAUAUAAUACGAACAAAGGAGAACCACAUAAAAGCUGUAACUUUCAUCGAAAAUUUAACAAACAAGAACAAUAUUGCCCCUCUCGCGGAGGUGGUACAAACAGAUUAUAGAACGGGGCUUCGCAGUACCACUGGUGUCAUUUCGAUAGCUCGACGCUAGCAGGCUAGCGACGAGGCACUGGGCGACGGACUAACACGGCACAUUAGAAGUGUUUUCAGAAUAAUUGUUUGGCCUUUUUCGUGAUAUGUGUUGGGUUAAUUUUGUAUGUUUUUUUACUAGCUAGUUUGUGAAUAUCGCAUGAGAAUAAACAAAGUCUGUCCUAGUUAGCUAACAUUACAUUGUUUCAAGUACAUAGCCCACGACCAACCAGGAUUGUAUGUUCACGAUAUGUUCUGAUAACGAGCUGGCCGAGUAGGGGAACCGACGGAGCAGUCCCAGAGAAUACUAUUUUAAACUGAUUGGGGUUGCUCGUGAUUUUGAGGAUAUGGCAAGCAGCAGCGGCUCAAAAGCCGAAUUCAUUGUUGGUGGAAAAUACAAACUUGUAAGAAAAAUUGGAUCUGGAUCAUUUGGUGACAUAUACCUGGCGAUCAACAUCACAAAUGGAGAGGAGGUAGCUGUAAAAUUGGAAUCUCAGAAAGCCAGACACCCACAGUUGUUAUAUGAAAGCAAACUUUACAAAAUAUUACAAGGAGGAGUUGGAAUCCCACACAUAAGGUGGUAUGGCCAAGAAAAGGACUACAAUGUCCUAGUGAUGGACCUGCUGGGACCUAGUCUGGAAGACCUCUUCAACUUCUGCUCGCGCAGGUUCACAAUGAAAACUGUACUAAUGCUCGCAGACCAGAUGAUCAGCAGAAUCGAGUAUGUGCACACAAAGAACUUCAUUCACAGAGAUAUCAAGCCAGACAACUUUUUAAUGGGUAUUGGCCGUCACUGUAACAAGUGUUUGGAAUCUCCAGUGGGGAAGAGGAAAAGAAGCUUGGCUGUUAGUUCUUCUCAGGACCCAUCUUUCUCAGGAUUAAACCAGUUGUUCCUCAUCGACUUUGGUCUGGCCAAAAAAUACCGGGACAACAGGACACGACAGCACAUACCUUACCGAGAAGACAAGAAUCUCACCGGCACAGCACGCUAUGCCAGCAUCAACGCGCACCUGGGCAUCGAGCAGAGUCGCAGAGAUGACAUGGAGUCGCUAGGCUACGUCCUGAUGUACUUCAACAGAACCAGCCUGCCCUGGCAGGGUCUAAAGGUAGGCCAGGCUGCCACAAAGAAACAGAAGUACGAGAAGAUUAGCGAGAAGAAGAUGUCCACUCCAGUCGAGGUUUUGUGUAAGGGUUUCCCAGCAGAGUUCGCCAUGUACCUGAACUACUGCCGUGGGCUACGGUUCGAGGAGGCGCCUGACUACAUGUACCUGCGUCAGCUGUUCCGCAUUCUCUUCAGGACUUUGAACCACCAGUACGACUACACGUUUGACUGGACGAUGCUGAAGCAGAAAGCAGCCCAGCAGGCUGCGUCCUCAGGGGGACAGGGGCAACCGGCACAAACCCCCUCAGGCAAGCAAACUGACAAACCCAAGAGUAACAUGAAAGUCUCUCCCCUCCCUCUCGUAGAGGGUAUCCCGGGUGCCCAGGGUUGAUGGCAGAGGAGUCAACCCAAUUUUUCAAAAAACCUGAAGCAGUUUUCAUCAGGUUUCUGAGCAGUAAGACAAUGAAAGGAAGCAGAGCAGAGAGGCCGUAGCAGGAUUUGCCUUCCAAUCACACCCCGGCAUCUAGGAUCAAAUUCACCAGAACCUGCCAGGCAUUGUGGGCAACCCUUUUUUCCUGUUAAAGAACUUUCCUUCCAUAUAUACUAUAUAUGUAAUCGCUCUAUAUAGAUAACAUGCUCUGCAUAUAUCUAUAUAUUGGUAUGUAUAUACUAUAUCCACACAGAAAGCAGGCUUUGGUAUGGAAUUUUCCGAAGCUGUAGCCUUCUCUAUUGUCCUGUCCCUGAAGAUUUUUUAUUUCUUCAAAACGGAAAACUAAGAAAUGGUUGGCUCACUGCGGAUGUUUGUGCACCUGCCAAUACUUUCCCCUUGAUACUUUCUCCCUCUGAGAGCUGCUGUUUGGGUGCCUCCCUCACCUCAUGGCUGCCUGUCAGAGCAGCUUUGCCCCCAUUCCCUCUGUCACCGAGUGUGGCAUGAUGACCCAGACACACGUCAGUCAGAUUGAACAUUUGAAACAACCAUUUUCUCUUCCUUAUUCAACUUUUUUCCCUCAUCCUCAAGCAAAAUGAAAGAGUGUAAUCUGAAACUGUUUCCUUUAUGAAAAGGUAAUUAAGAUUCUGCCUGCAGAUAUGUGCUAGAAGAGCUUCUAAUGUGAAGAUGAAAACACUAGGUUUCUCUUUAGAAUGCUGCAUUAAUAUUGUACUUCUGAAGUCUCAAACAACAAAUAAAAAAUAUGAACUCCACAAAAGCAUAUUCAUUAUAAAUUAGGCACCACUUGACUAAACCUGUUUGUAAAUUGCUUAGAAAAAAAUGAUGCAUCAAUGAAUUUAUUUUGAAAAUGUUUUUGUUUUAUGUAAUUGCUAUGAUGGAUGGCCUCAAUGUUCCGUUUUUGAGACAGACAAACGUGCUCACUCCACCCGCCCUUCCUGUUUUUAUAUAUAUAUAUAUAUAUAUAUAUAUACUUUUUUUAAAUCAGAACUUUUUUUUUCUUUCCGUUUUAUAGUCGUCUUUCCCUGUAUUGAAUUGAUAAUUUGGGGGAAAGGGUGUUUUUGUUACUUUCUAAGGGGAAGCAGAUCCUGUUGUAAAAUACUCUGGGACUUUCUCUCUGCAACUACAUAUUGCUGCUGCAUAGAGUAGCAACCGUUUCCUAAUUUUCCUUUUUUUUUUUUAUUGCGAAGAAAGUGUUGUUGUUUUUUUUAUAUUUAUAUAUA
RNA transcript from Oncorhynchus tshawytscha (Chinook salmon), 3066 nucleotides. It is a transcript of the gene named casein kinase I, with no coding region annotated. Lineage: Eukaryota; Metazoa; Chordata; Actinopteri; Salmoniformes; Salmonidae. The record is from RefSeq and is a predicted model, not a curated record. The transcript is spliced from 12 exons.